RNAcentral lists this ribosomal RNA (465 nucleotides) under uncultured bacterium. RNAcentral describes it as "partial 16S ribosomal RNA". It matches the Rfam family "Bacterial small subunit ribosomal RNA", at positions 28 to 507 of the family's 1533-position model. The record is from RNAcentral.
GACGAACGCUGGCGGCGUGCUUAACACAUGCAAGUCGAACGGAAAGGCCCUGCUUGCAGGGUACUCGAGUGGCGAACGGGUGAGUAACACGUGGGUGAUCUGCCCUGCACUUCGGGAUAAGCCUGGGAAACUGGGUCUAAUACCGGAUAGGAGCCAUUUUUAGUGUGAUGGUUGGAAAGUUUUUUCGGUGUAGGAUGAGCUCGCGGCCUAUCAGCUUGUUGGUGGGGUAAUGGCCUACCAAGGCGGCGACGGGUAGCCGGCCUGAGAGGGUGGACGGCCACACUGGGACUGAGGUACGGCCCAGACUCCUACGGGAGGCAGCAGUGGGGAAUAUUGAACAAUGGGCGCAAGCCUGAUGCAGCGACGCCGCGUGGGGGAUGACGGCCUUCUGGUUGUAAAAACCUUUCGCUAGGGACGAAGCUUUUUGUGACGGUACCUAGAUAAGAAGCACCGGCUAACUACGUG